GGGGAGAAGAAGAAGAAGAGGAUGAAGAGGUGCUCCGAGCGGAGUCUUAGUUUAUUUGUUUUUCUUUGAUUUUAGUUAUCAUGGCCUGCGUGCCUUAUGUAUUUUGGCCUUCGGGCGUUGUAAUAUGGCCUUCGGGCGUACUUGGCUUCGGCCACUCUUAUCGUUUUUAAUGUAUGAAUAUUUUCGUUAUCAUUCAUUGUGCUCGUUUGUGUUUGA
Molecule: long non-coding RNA, 216 nt
Filed under: Lathyrus oleraceus (garden pea)
Lineage: Eukaryota; Viridiplantae; Streptophyta; Magnoliopsida; Fabales; Fabaceae
Description: Pisum sativum (pea) long non-coding RNA (PSAT_LNC023679)
Source: RNAcentral